UGGGGAAUCUUCCGCAAUGGACGAAAGUCUGACGGAGCAACGCCGCGUGAGUGAAGAAGGUUUUCGGAUCGUAAAACUCUGUCUUUUGGGGCGAACGUGAGUAUGGUGAACAAUCAUAGUCAGUGACGGUACCAAAGGAGGAAGCCACGGCUAACUACGUGCCAGCAGCCGCGGUAAUACGUAGGUGGCAAGCGUUGUCCGGAAUUAUUGGGCGUAAAGAGCGCGUAGGCGGGAUAGUCAGUCUGUUGUAAAGUGCGGGGCUCAACCCCGUGAUGGCAAUGGAAACAGCUAUUCUUGAGUGCAGGAGAGGAAAGUGGAAUUCCCAGUGUAGCGGUGAAAUGCGUAGAUAUUGGGAGGAACACCAGUGGUGAAGGCGACUUUCUGGACUGUGUCUGACGCUGAGGCGCGAAAGCCAGGGGAGCGAACGGGAUUAGAUACCCCGGUAGUCCUGGCCGUAAACGAUGGGUACUAGGUGUGGGAGGUAUCGACCCCUUCCGUGCCGGAGUUAACGCAAUAAGUACCCCGCCUGGGGAGUACGGUCGCAAGACUGAAACUCAAAGGAAUUGAC
Molecule: ribosomal RNA, 568 nt
Filed under: uncultured bacterium
Lineage: Bacteria
Description: partial 16S ribosomal RNA
Rfam family: Bacterial small subunit ribosomal RNA
Source: RNAcentral